RNAcentral lists this ribosomal RNA (236 nucleotides) under uncultured Actinomycetales bacterium. RNAcentral describes it as "partial 16S ribosomal RNA". It matches the Rfam family "Bacterial small subunit ribosomal RNA", at positions 96 to 334 of the family's 1533-position model. The record is from RNAcentral. Lineage: Bacteria; Bacillati; Actinomycetota; Actinomycetes; Actinomycetales.
UGGCGAACGGGUGAGUAACACGUAGGUAAUCUGCCCUGCACUCUGGGAUAAGCCUGGGAAACUGGGUCUAAUACUGGAUAUGACCUUUCUCCUUAUGGGGUUUGGUGGAAAGUUUUUCGGUGUAGGAUGAGCCCGCGGCCUAUCAGCUUGUUGGUGGGGUGAUGGCCUACCAAGGCGACGACGGGUAGCCGGCCUGAGAGGGUGAUCGGCCACAUUGGGACUGAGAUACGGCCCAG